Molecule: long non-coding RNA, 2730 nt
Filed under: Sus scrofa (pig)
Lineage: Eukaryota; Metazoa; Chordata; Mammalia; Artiodactyla; Suidae
Description: lncRNA (ENSSSCG00060063869.1)
Source: RNAcentral
UGUCAGCUUGUGUAGGGGAAGGCCCGGCAAUUGAAGGCUGAUCUGUCGCCUGAGUUCUGCAGAGCUGACCUCCACUGUCCAGGAACUCGCAUCUCGCAGUCACUCGGUGGGUAUCAGGUUGCAGAGGAAAGAGAACAGCCUUAUAAAGCCAUCCAGCGGCUCCAGGCAAGGACAGCUCCUCUUCCCAGAGAGGCAGGGACAAAAUACAUUGAAACAAAUUGUUAGAUUAAAAUAUAAAUGCUGGAGUUCCCGUUGUGGCUCAUCAGGUUAAGAACCUGACUAGUAUUGGAGUUCCCGUCCUAGCUCAGAGGUAAUGAACCCAACUAGUAUCCAUGAGAAUCCCUGGCCUCACUCAGUGGAUUAAGGAUCUGGUGUUGCCAAAAGCUGCUGUGUAAGUCACAGAUGCAACUUGGAUCUCACGUGGCUGUGGCAUAGGUUGGUGGCUGCAGCUCUGAUUUGACCCCUAGCCUGGAAACGUCCAGAUGCCAUGUGUAUAUAUAGACACACACACACACGGAUAUGCAAAUGCCAUAGACUCCCUGGCUUCUGGGAUUUGUGGCAUUUGUUGUCAUUUCUUUAUUUUUUUGGCCACACCUGUGGCAUGCAGAAGGUCCCAGGCCCGGGAUCAAACCCACCCACAGCUGUGACCUGAGCCACAGCAGUGACAAUGCUGGAUUCUUAACCCACAGAGGCACCAGGGGAACCCCAAUUUCCUGUCAUUUCUGAAUAAUCAGACUAAGACAAGGACCACUCCAGGGAGUGGUUACACUGAGCGGAUCUCCCAUUUAGCUUAAUCCAUCCAAGUCAAGCUUAUUAUCAAGUCUUCAGGUCAGAUUUAAAGAACUAGAGUGUGUGUGUGUGUAUCUAGAAAGAUGGCUGAACAGCGCUUGGAAUCAAGAUUUCACGUUUUACUUACAUAUUAUUAUUAUUGCCUUUUAGGGCUGCACCCGAAGCAUAUGGAUGUUCCCAGGCUAGGGGUCUAAUCGGAGCUGUAGCCACCAGCCUACAGCCACAGCCACAGCCACACCUGAUCCGAGCCGCAUCUGCGACCUACACCACAGCUCACGGCAACACCGGAUCCUUGACCCAUUGAUCGAGGCCAGGGAUUGAACCCGCCACCUCAUGAUUCCUAAUCGGAUUCCUUUCUGCUGUGCCAUGACGGGAACUCCUGAAUGGGUUUUUUUUGGUUGUUGUUGUUUUUUUGGGUUUUUUUGGCCUUAAUCACCCUCCAUAAUAGACAAGGGCUAUAAAUCCCAUUUUAUAGAUAAAGAAACUGAUGCCCAGAGAUGUUAAAUUACUCACCCCAGAAUGGAGACAAGAACCUGGAUCUUCCAGGCCCUGGUGUCUUCCCCACCUGACCCAAUCCUUUCAUUUUCAUUCUUUUUAGUCUUGCACACAGCUCGCUGGCAAGGCCAGAGGGUCCUGGCUCCUCGUUGAACUUACAUACUCCUCCACAAACCCUUCAUUAAAAAAACACAUGGCAGGAGUUCCCGUCGUGGCGCAGUGGCUAACGAAUCUGACUAGGAACCAUGAGGUUUCGGGUUCCAUCCCUGGCCUUGCUCCGGGGGCUAAGGAUCCAUCGUUGCCGUGAGCUGUGGUGUAGGUCACAGACACAGCUUGGAUCCUGCAGUGCUGUGGCCCUGGCGUAGGUCGGCGGCUACAGUUCCGAUUCGACCCCUAGCCGGGGAACCUCCAUAGGCCAAGGGAGCAGCCCUAGAAAAGGCAAAAAAGACAAAAAACAAACAAACAAACAAAAUAGAACACAUGGCAGUCUGCUUUUUCAUUAUUUUGUGAGUGUUAACUGUGCCAAGUUGCCAUUUAGGGCAAAUAUUCAAAAUCCAAGGGGUGACCCUGGGCACAUGCCAGACGCCUCUGAAGAUUUCGUCCUGACACUCAUUCUGCAUUUGCCCAUUUUAACCUCCUGCGUGUGCUGGUCUAAUCUCUCUGGGUGCUACGAAGACAUCUCCAGCACAGACUUGGCCCUCUCUCUGGCAGGAAGCUCACACACACACACACAGGGGAGGUGAUAAAUGAAGCGCAGGCAGAGCUUCCAGAAGCUCUGAGAAAGACUUUACUUUGUGACCUAAGUUUUGCUGACUUGGAAAGUGCCACUAAGUGCUUGAACUUUUGGUUGGUUUGUGUGAUGCUCUGUUUCUUCACAAACCAGAGCACAGUGAACUGCUGCGGUUUUCAACAGUGAAACUAAAGCAUCUGGGUUGUAGGAAUUUCCUCGAAAUUUCUUUGAACCAUACUGAAACUAUCGUACCCACUCUCACCUCUGUUUCCUGUUGUCAGGGUCCACCCUGGCUUUACGGGAAACUAUAUGUACUGGUGUUGCGUUUCAAAGAAAAAUUUGGCUCACUUUUUCAGCUUUUUAAAGAGAUGCAUAAUGGCCUUAAAUUGUAAUGAAAGUGUUUUACAAACGUCUAUAAAAGUCAAAGACCUCCGGUUCGGUGGUGUGGUUACAUGUAAAUCGCAUCCCUAAGCAGCACCCUUAUUUCACUCAACUCACAUCAUAGCCCUGAUUAUUACAGAAAUGAAUCAGACGUAGGCUUUGUCUUUAGAAGGCAGCUCUGACAAAGCGAGCUUUGCGGCAAAGCCUGCUAUAAUUAUAGACUAGAAUGUAGUCCCAUAUUUUCCGUUUAUUAAACUUUUAAAAGCUUUUGAGACCAGAGGUGCACCUCCUCUGCUAAUCCAUACUGUUAAAUAUGUUUAAGGAAAAAAUAAAAA